Molecule: long non-coding RNA, 1060 nt
Filed under: Salvator merianae (Argentine black and white tegu)
Lineage: Eukaryota; Metazoa; Chordata; Lepidosauria; Squamata; Teiidae
Description: lncRNA (ENSSMRG00000007675.1)
Source: RNAcentral
AAUACACUCUCACUGUCUUCUUUUUUCCAGGGUGGUCUAAAGGAUCUACUAAUUGUACUCAGGGGCAAAGGAUGUGAUGCCUUGAAUUCAGCCAAGUAACCUUGUAAGUCAUGAUCAAGACUCAGUUUCAACAGUCAAUAUUUGACACCACAACAAAGCUCUCUCAGAGACACAUAUGUGAUGGUCGGAGCAGGAAGACUGGACUGCCCAUUAAGGACUGCAGCAGAUGUGGCUGAGAUAAUGCAUCUGCCUGUGGCUUGUUCAUUUGUUUACAUUUCUAGCCUGUCUUAUACCUCUAAGAUACAUCAGGAUUAUCUUAAUAGACAGAUGGAUGACUAUUGGCCAAGGAAAUCCCUGCUGGAUGUUUCAACAGAAGUGAAGAAAAGCAGGUGAUUUUGCUCUUUCCCAUUCUUUUCUCUUUCUCUUUUUUUAAUUUACUCCCAUCCCAUUGGGAACAACAGAAGAGAUCAAAGGGAAGAAACCAUGACUGUCUGAGGCCUCUGGUUGUUUAUUCCCUUGAUCCCUGGUAUGUNGAAAUACUGGGAACGGUUUGCAUCCUUUGGAUUCAUAGCUUUGCUCCAGUAUACUUCCUUUUUGGCCAGCUUUAACAUCAGUAUAGGCAAAGCCAUAGAAGUUUCCAAAACAGAAUAGAAGUUGAGGGAGAUUUAGCAUACCCAAAGGCCCCUGAGAGCAACUUUUGGGGACAAAAUGCUACAGAGUGUCACUCCAAAUGUCACAUGUGGAAUUAUUUUCCUGACGGACAUCUUAUAGAUCUUGGCCAGUUAGGCCACAAUUACUUUAUACAGUAUUGUGUAGUAUGAUUUUGUUCUUACACAGUUGUCAAAAUGUGACUUUCCUCGAGCAAUGACACAGCUUGCUCUCUGCGGUACCAUUGGCAAACUGGUCUCCCUGUGGCAGCAUCAGCUGAUGUUGUUACACUAGAUCCAUGUCACCAUUGACUUGAUUUGCAGCAGCAUCCCAAAAGGGAUCAGGAGCAAAAGCUGCAUGUUGCACAUGAACUGGCACAGAAGUGGGAGCCAUGGCAGGGAGGCAUCAUUCA